This 497-nucleotide ribosomal RNA is filed under the name uncultured bacterium. RNAcentral's name for it is "partial 16S ribosomal RNA". It matches the Rfam family "Bacterial small subunit ribosomal RNA", at positions 28 to 507 of the family's 1533-position model. The record is from RNAcentral.
GAUGAACGCUGGCGGCGUGCCUAAUACAUGCAAGUCGAGCGAACGGACGAGAAGCUUGCUUUUCUGAUGUUAGCGGCGGACGGGUGAGUAACACGUGGUUAACCUACCUAUAAGACUGGGAUAACUUCGGGAAACCGGAGCUAAUACCGGAUAAUAUUUUGAACCGCAUGGUUCAAAAGUGAAAGACGGUCUUGCUGUCACUUAUAGAUGGAUCCGCGCUGCAUUAGCUAGUUGGUAAGGUAACGGCUUACCAAGGCAACGAUGCAUAGCCGACCUGAGAGGGUGAUCGGCCACACUGGAACUGAGACACGGUCCAGACUCCUACGGGAGGCAGCAGUAGGGAAUCUUCCGCAAUGGGCGAAAGCCUGACGGAGCAACGCCGCGUGAGUGAUGAAGGUCUUCGGAUCGUAAAACUCUGUUAUUAGGGAAGAACAUAUGUGUAAGUAACUGUGCACAUCUUGACGGUACCUAAUCAGAAAGCCACGGCUAACUACGUG